AAAAUAGAAAUACCGUGUGACUCAGGAGUUACACCAGGAGGUUUUUACCCAAGGGACCCAACAGAUACAGGUCGAAAGGGUACAAGCACCCCAAUGCUUAUAGCAACAUUAUCAAUAAUGGCCAAACUAUGGAAAAAGCCCAAAUGUCCAUCGACUGAUGAAUGGAUAAAGAAGAGGUGGGGUGUGUGUGUGUGCCACACACACAUACAGUGGAAUAUGACUCGGGCAUCAAAAUGAAUGAAAUCUUGCCAUUUGCAAUGAUAUGCAUAAACCUAGAGUGUGUUAUGCUAACAGAAAUAAGCAGAGGCAGA
Mustela erminea (ermine) is the source of this 311-nucleotide long non-coding RNA. RefSeq lists it as uncharacterized. The record is from RefSeq and is a predicted model, not a curated record. NCBI's taxonomy places the organism in Eukaryota, Metazoa, Chordata, Mammalia, Carnivora, Mustelidae. The transcript has 3 exons.